This is a non-coding RNA of Danio rerio (zebrafish), 115 nucleotides long. The record is from RefSeq and is a predicted model, not a curated record. Lineage: Eukaryota; Metazoa; Chordata; Actinopteri; Cypriniformes; Danionidae.
GGAGGACUCAUUUUCACAUCACACACAGAUACACCUUUUCAUUUGCAACUCCGGUGCUUCUAAAAAUAACAUUUUAAGAUCGAAUGUCUGCCACCACUGCUAAUCUUAAAAAGAU